CGCGGUGGGCUCUGACCGGCCCGUUUGCCUUUUUCUACGUCGAAGCGCGGCCGAGGGUGAGCGUUUUGCUUUUUCGUGGGCUGGGCUUUUUUGUUUGUCUGUUUCUAUCUUGAUUUUUUGUCGGUGCGGUUUCUUCUUUUUGACAUUUGUUACAGGGAGGGGGGAGCUGCAGUCAUUUCGUCUCUAUCCAUUCCCCGCUCCCCCCCCUUUCUCUCUCUCUAUCACUUUUACCUCUGUAAAAAUGUGAAGAUCUCUGCAGCAAACGAAGGAAUUGCUGUGCUGCUCAACGUCCAGCAAGAGUAUGGGGGGCGCUGCUGAUGGACAGCACACGAGCACUGACACGGAUGAGAAAGGAAGCGACCCUGAAAAUAAAACAGACAACAGAAAUGCAGAAGGCAAAGAGCAGUGUCUUGGAGAUCCGGCGUUAGAAGAUAAAGGAUAUCAUGAAACGGAAGCAUGAGAGGGUUCACUUUGAAGUUGCUACAAUGGUUUGUAACCUUUUUCUAUAAAUAUUCAUGAUCUUUUUAGUUUUAUUAGUUGAAACAGUGGGUUAACUAGGUAACACGGGAUGUUAACUAGCUGUGUCGCCAUGUGUCCAUACUCAUGCUAAAGUUUAAACUAGCUAAUACAUGAACUUUUGUUAACUAGCUACUUAGUGCAGGGAAGUUAACCAGCCGUGUCAACAUGUCUAUGUACUCUUGUUGAAUCUAGGAAGAGGAGCAUCUGCAGGCUGCUAGUCAACUUUAGUACUGAAAAACAUCUAUAAGUGGCUCUGAUCAAUUCCAUGAACAAUGGACAGCACGGUUCUGUUUAGCUAGCUCUGAACAGCAACUCCCCUCCUCGUAUGUACAUCCAUAAUUUUUUGUA
This is a long non-coding RNA of Aegilops tauschii subsp. strangulata, 867 nucleotides long. RefSeq lists it as uncharacterized. NCBI's taxonomy places the organism in Eukaryota, Viridiplantae, Streptophyta, Magnoliopsida, Poales, Poaceae. The record is from RefSeq and is a predicted model, not a curated record.